UCUUAAAUAGCUCAAUUAUAAGAGUAAAUUCUUGAAGAGAAUUUGGUGAUAUAUU
Molecule: transfer RNA, 55 nt
Filed under: Tityus serrulatus (Brazilian scorpion)
Lineage: Eukaryota; Metazoa; Arthropoda; Arachnida; Scorpiones; Buthidae
Description: tRNA-Phe
Source: RNAcentral